RNAcentral lists this ribosomal RNA (253 nucleotides) under uncultured bacterium. Its description in RNAcentral is "partial 16S ribosomal RNA". It matches the Rfam family "Bacterial small subunit ribosomal RNA", at positions 524 to 776 of the family's 1533-position model. The record is from RNAcentral.
UACGUAGGGUGCAAGCGUUGUCCGGAAUUAUUGGGCGUAAAGAGCUCGUAGGCGGUUUGUUGCGUCGGCUGUGAAAUCCCGAGGCUCAACCUCGGGUCUGCAGUCGAUACGAGCAAACUAGAGUGUUGCAGGGGAGACUGGAGUUCCUGGUGUAGCGGUGAAAUGCGCAGAUAUCAGGAGGAACACCGGUGGCGAAGGCGGGUCUCUGGGCAACAACUGACGCUGAGGAGCGAAAGCGUGGGGAGCAAACAGG